UACGAAGGUGGCAAGCGUUGUUCGGAUUUACUGGGCGUACAGGGAGCGUAGGCGGUUGGGUAAGCCCUCCGUGAAAUCUCCGGGCCUAACCCGGGAAGGGCGGAGGGGACUGCUCGGCUAGAGGAUGGGAGAGGAGCGCGGAAUUCCCGGUGUAGCGGUGAAAUGCGUAGAGAUCGGGAGGAAGGCCGGUGGCGAAGGCGGCGCUCUGGAACAUUUCUGACGCUGAGGCUCGAAAGCGUGGGGAGCAAACAGG
RNAcentral lists this ribosomal RNA (253 nucleotides) under uncultured bacterium. Its description in RNAcentral is "partial 16S ribosomal RNA". It matches the Rfam family "Bacterial small subunit ribosomal RNA", at positions 524 to 776 of the family's 1533-position model. The record is from RNAcentral.